GAUGAAGAACGCAGCGAAAUGCGAUACGUAAUGUGAAUUGCAGAAUUCCGUGAAUCAUCGAAUCUUUGAACGCACAUUGCGCCUUUGGGUUAUUCCCAAAGGCAUGCCUGUUCGAGCGUCAUUUCAACCCUCAAGCACAGCUUGGUGUUGGGACUCGCGUUAAUUCGCGUUCCUCAAAUUGAUUGGCGGUCACGUCGAGCUUCCAUAGCGUAGUAGUAAAACCCUCGUUACUGGUAAUCGUCGCGGCCACGCCGUUAAACCCCAACUUCUGAAUGUUGACCUCGGAUCAGGUAGGAAUACCCGCUGAACUUAAGCAUAUCAAUAAGCGGAGGA
Molecule: unclassified non-coding RNA, 333 nt
Filed under: soil metagenome
Description: partial contains 5.8S ribosomal RNA, internal transcribed spacer 2, and large subunit ribosomal RNA
Rfam family: 5.8S ribosomal RNA (bases 1-121)
Source: RNAcentral